ACCUCUUGGUGUUUUCAGUUUCUACAAAGGACUUAGUACUUUUGUGAGAGAAAGAAUGUUAACUUUUACCUUCUAAAAUUAACAUAUUGUUUGUUUUCUUCAAACAUUCCUACCAAAUGCAGCUUGCUACAUACAUUGUGUGAUGGAAGAGAAGUGAAAGGGCUUUGUAAACUUCAGCUGGUUUUCUCCUCUCUAUCACAGAUGGCAUAGGUUUUGAGUGCUGCCCUCCACUCACGGACGCACUCAAACACAUCGUUCUACCUCCAGUACACUUAAGUAAAAGAGAACCCUAAGUACAGCAGCCUUUCACCAGCUCCCAUGCCAGUCCACACUCUACCCCUGGGACCCUGCCACCUCAAGCCAGCAAUGCAUCAUCUUCCCAGUGUAAGAAGAAAAGCAAAGGAGUUCCCGUGGUGGUGCAGUGGUUAAUGAAUCCGACUAGGAAAUAUGAGGUUGUGGGUUCAAUCCCUGGCCUUGCUCAGUGGGUUAAGGACCCGGCGUUGCUGUGAGCUGUGGUUGUAGGUCGCAGACGCAGCUCAGAUCUGGUGUUGCUGUGGCUCUGGUGUAGGUUAGCGGCUACAACUCCGAUUGGACCCCUAGCCUGGGAAUCUCCAUAUGCCGCGGAGAAGCGCCCUAGAAAAGGCAAAAAGACAAAAAAAUUUUUAAAAAUUUAAAAAAAGAAGAAGAAGAAAAGCAAAAACAGAAGAGGAAACACCAGAAUAUAGAAGGAAGAGGGCUGCAUUUCAGGAACCAUGGCUUCUAUGGCUCUGGUCUCUCCAAGGCGCCCAGCCAGGGCUGGACCUGGAGAAGGCUUUGUUGCCAUCUAGUUGACUUUCCAAAUCAUCCCUUUUGAUUGGCAUCCAAAUUCACUAACCAAAGAAAUCCCAAAUUAAGUCAAAUAUUUCACAACCCUUAUAGGUUGCAAAAUAUUUGGAUGCACAUUUUCUCUCUUGACCUUCCCAACACAUCUGUGAGGAAAAUACCACCAUCUCCAUCACAAGGGUACAUAAGAAAAUUAGAUCUUGGAUAAUUGAAACACAUCAUUCAAGGCCAUACAUUUUACUAUAAAUAAUCCAGUUGGAUCUCAGUUAAUCAAAUUGUGUCUCAUGCCAGUUUUUUUUUUUUAAACAAGUGACACCUAUUAAUGUCACUUAUGAUAUUAAUGUUUGCAGAUACUGCUUCACCCAUUAUUUCCAGACUCGGCUCCCAUUUUUAUUUUUGGUUUUUUUUUUAAUUUUAACAGUAGGAAUUAGAUAUCUAUUGGGAAUUAUUCACUCUUUUACACAUUUAUUGAGAGCCUACCAUGAAUCAAACACUGUUCCUUGCAACAGAGAGUUGUAGAAAAAGGAUGAAUUAUGUCCCUUACCUUUCUCACCCUCCUUUUUGCAGUAAAAAUGCAAGUGUCACAUCUCUCUCAUCUCUGUCCCUUCAUUAUCUCCCUUCUGGACUAUUUGAAUAGGUUCCUAGCUGGUCUCUGGCCUACGGCCCCACCCCACUUCCAUCUCUUUUACAGCAGUUCAGGGCCAUGCCUCUCUUGUGCUGUGACCCCUAUAUGUUCCACAUGGCUGCAAGAGAAAGAACUAAGCUUUAAGAUGGGCUUCAGGGACCCUCCAGGUCUAUUUCCUCCUUCUGCCCCCAUCUCUUGCCAUUCCCCCAGUGAUUCAGAAUGCUCUGGUGCCAAGCCACUCAGUUCUCCAGCCCAGUUGCUUUUCCUCAUUCCCAGUUUUGCCCAAAUAGCGCCCUCUGCUGAGCAUGCCCCUUCUUUAUUCUUGCCUAACCCAUUUCUAAUCAGCCUUAAAAAAAAAAAUCUCAGAUAUGUCCUUAGAAUGCUUUUCUUUUUUCUUUUUAAUUUUUUAUUAUAGUUGACUAUACACACACACAUAUAUAUAUUUUUUUAAAUAUUAUUUUCCAUCAUGGUCUAUCCUAAUAGACUAUAGUUCCUUGUGCUAUACAGUAGAAUCUUAUUGUCUAUCCAUUCUAAAUGUAAUAGUUAACAUCUAUUAACCCCAAACUCCCAGUCCAUCCCACUUUCCCCAUUCCUUGACAACCACAAGUCUGUUCUCCAUAUCUGUGAGUCUGUUUCUAUUUUAUAGAUUACCAUUCUAGGUGACGUAAGCCAGAAAGAGAAGGACAAAUGCCCUAUAUGCAGAGUUAAAAUAUGACACAUAUGAACCUAUCUACAAAUUAGAAUGCUUUUCUGACUGUCUUCCUUGCAUC
This 2217-nucleotide long non-coding RNA is filed under the name Sus scrofa (pig). RNAcentral's name for it is "lncRNA (ENSSSCG00050063702.1)". The record is from RNAcentral. Lineage: Eukaryota; Metazoa; Chordata; Mammalia; Artiodactyla; Suidae.